This is a long non-coding RNA of Ostrea edulis (European flat oyster), 1569 nucleotides long. RefSeq lists it as uncharacterized. NCBI's taxonomy places the organism in Eukaryota, Metazoa, Mollusca, Bivalvia, Ostreida, Ostreidae. The transcript has 2 exons. The record is from RefSeq and is a predicted model, not a curated record.
CAUCAAUGUUCAUAUUGCAGGCUCGAGUUCAACUGAUACUCAGUAAUCCACUGUUAGAGCCCAAUAUUGAUGUAAUCUCGUGUAUCAAUUCAACAUUAUUAAUCAUGUCAGCGCAACUAUGAGUAUUGUGUCCACAAAGCAGCGCUGGGUGGAAAAAUAUUUAAGCGAUCUGAUUACAGUCUCGCAAUUGUUCCGGUAGUUUAGCAGACGUUUAAACUUCCUUAUUCAAACGGACAAGCUGCGUAAGGAUACAUGGCAAAUGUAGCUGAUCAUAUAGAUGUCACCAUGAUUCCUAGCAAAUAGAUGGGUGCAAAUACAAAACUAAGACAUGUUGUCAGUUGCUGAACAAAUUCCGGUGAAAACAUGCAAGUUCUAGGAAAAGGUUUGUAGCUGAGAAGGAAAGUAAAAUGACCCCAUAUGAAGGGUAAAUUUAUAAGAAGGGCAGACAGAGUUCUUGAUUGUGCACAGUGUCUAAAUUCCCUCGCUCGAUAUUGUGAUGGAGUGGGGGUGCAAAUUAGCCCAAAUGAUAUAAAAUCAAAGCGAGAAAGGGCACCUUCAUACUCAGAGUAUGUUUGUACACCAACACCAGUAUGUAUAGAUUACAUGUAAUUUAGGGUCCUAAUUUAUUGACUAUACCACCAAUAUGAAAUAUAAGGGAAAUAUGAUUUUUCAUUGGUCUGUCAUAAUCUGACUUUACUGUAUACCCCCUACCCACAUGUAUUAGAACCAGAAACAAACUGUCCCCUGCCACCAAAGCAUCUUAAAACACUUUAGACAUUUUAUCCGCCUAUUCAUUGAACGCGGAAAACAUAAUGUAAAUAAAUUGAAUUUAUGUAAACAGUGCAUUGUGACGUUAUAUUCAGCGUCAGUGUUUAGCAAAUUCACAACAGAGCGGGUAAUACAAUGGAGAUGACUUCUGUCCCCGACAGAUACUACAGGCAAUUAUAAGCGAUGACUUCCAUACCCCGACAGAUACUACAGGCAAUUAUAAGCGAUGACUUCCAUACCCCGACAGAUACAACAAACAAUAAAAGAUGGACGACGAAUCCACAUUGCACGUCUUCGUAACAUCUCCGUCUGUUUUCUUUAUUAAACUACACGUGAACGUAUGUUCAUGUCUUUAUCUGUAAACACUUUCUUCCUUCCUCUUUUUCUUUUCUACCUGUUCUGUUUCUUAAAACUUUUUUUUGAUAAUGCUACGUAUUGUAGAUCUAGGUAAUCCAAAUAUUCCCUCCAAUUCUGAUGUGUUUCCUUUCUCUCUCUACGCGUUUACAAUCAUAUUUCGGACGUCAACACUCAUUUCUUUUCCUUUCCGACCCAUGUUGUUUCGUACAAUAUAGCAGACGACAGAAUUAUUGUGUAAACGUCUUUCCGUCAACACUUUCUUUGUGACACGGUAACUCAAACAGUUUUCAUUGUACAGUUUUCAAAUUUUGUACAGAAAUAAUUUACAAUAAGAGGAAGACGCCUAGAAAUUUUGGGGUCAUGUCACUUUGUAUGUCAUCAUCUUUCUUAUUAUGCCACUGUUUAAGGGAGAUAAUUCAAUUUGAAUUAAGAUAUAUUGUAAUU